UACGGAGGAUACAAGCGUUAUCCGGAUUUAUUAGGUUUAAAGGGUGCGUAGGCGGACUUGUAAGUCAGCGGUGAAAUACUACAGCUUAACUGUAGAACUGCCGUUGAUACUGUGAGUCUUGAGUAUAGUUGAGGUAGGCGGAAUGUGUAGUGUAGCGGUGAAAUGCUUAGAUAUUACACAGAACACCGAUUGCGAAGGCAGCUUACUAAGCUAUAACUGACGCUGAGGCACGAAAGCAUGGGGAGCAAACAGGAUUAGA
RNAcentral lists this ribosomal RNA (259 nucleotides) under uncultured prokaryote. RNAcentral's name for it is "partial 16S ribosomal RNA". It matches the Rfam family "Bacterial small subunit ribosomal RNA", at positions 524 to 782 of the family's 1533-position model. The record is from RNAcentral.